GACGGAGGAUGCAAGCGUUGUCCGGAAUUAUUGGGCGUAAAGAGCUCGUAGGCGGUCUGUCGCGUCGGCUGUGAAAACCUGGGGCUCAACCCCAGGCCUGCAGUCGAUACGGGCAGACUAGAGUCCGGCAGGGGAGACUGGAAUUCCUGGUGUAGCGGUGAAAUGCGCAGAUAUCAGGAGGAACACCGAUGGCGAAGGCAGGUCUCUGGGCCGAUACUGACGCUGAGGAGCGAAAGCGUGGGGAGCGAACAGG
Molecule: ribosomal RNA, 253 nt
Filed under: uncultured bacterium
Lineage: Bacteria
Description: partial 16S ribosomal RNA
Rfam family: Bacterial small subunit ribosomal RNA
Source: RNAcentral